RNAcentral lists this ribosomal RNA (253 nucleotides) under uncultured bacterium. RNAcentral's name for it is "partial 16S ribosomal RNA". It matches the Rfam family "Bacterial small subunit ribosomal RNA", at positions 524 to 776 of the family's 1533-position model. The record is from RNAcentral.
UACAGAGGUGGCAAGCGUUGUUCGGAAUUACUGGGCGUAAAGGGCGCGUAGGCGGUCUUGUAAGUUCCGUGUGAAAUCCCUCGGCUCAACUGAGGAACCGCACGGAAAACUGCUUGGCUUGAGUUCGGGAAAGGGAAGCGGAAUUCCGGGUGUAGCGGUGAAAUGCGUAGAUAUCCGGAGGAACACCGGUGGCGAAGGCGGCUUCCUGGACCGACACUGACGCUGAGGCGCGAAAGCUAGGGGAGCAAACGGG